Molecule: long non-coding RNA, 1466 nt
Organism: Centruroides sculpturatus (bark scorpion)
Lineage: Eukaryota; Metazoa; Arthropoda; Arachnida; Scorpiones; Buthidae
Exons: 4
Source: RefSeq, a predicted model, not a curated record
AAACGUGUGACAAUCGUUAAUUACUACAAUAGUUUUAUUGGAUUGUUUAUGAAAUUUGGUCUUUCAUCAAUCUAAGAAACACGAGUACAGACGAUAAUUUCAUUGACGUGCACUGUGUUACUGGGAAAAUAUUCAAAGUGUCCAGCAACUGUUUAGUGAGACUCAGGAAUUAUCUGUUCAAUGGAGUAGCGUAUUGUCCUCAUUUGCAAAAUUCCAUCAUUAGACUACGCUUGUCUUAUGUUACCACAGCACGAAUUAUACUUUUUAUCAAAAAUGGCGAUCCUUUUCUGACGUCGAUUGAAAAGGCAACGGAAGUUUAAUGGCGAAGAUUUUCUUCAUUGCAAAGAUCAAACAAUCGAAAGAUUCUUAUCUCCUCCGAUAUAUCCUGAAAAUUUAAGAGAAUUUGUACUGUUUAUCGUAUUAUACAAUUGGGCGAAAUUAAGAAUUAGAGGGAGAGAAGAAUCUAACGAAAAUCUUGAUGACAUUAUCAUCGGAGGAAGAUGUCGUGCUAUCUUAGACCCCUAUAUAUCUUGCAUCAGGUUUUUGACCAUGAAUAAUGUUAAACUGGAAUACAUUUUCGAGAAACUACAUUUACUGAAAGCAAAUGAAAUUCAAGCAAUACGUGAUUAUUGGAUUAAUGUCGAUUCGCCAAAUUUUCCAACUACAAUUAAUAAGGAGACUAGAGGAAGAGCAUAGGAGCACACCAAAAUGUUAUUUUCCUCAAAAACUGAGCGAUUGGUUGAAGAUAAGGAGGAGUAUGGAUUGGAUAAUAACGUUAUGGUUCCUCCAACUAAGAUGAAAAUGGAUAAAGAUUUCAGAAAGCAAGAAGAUAGCACGCAGAAUAGUUUUGGCUAUACUAUUAGCUACACUAUCGGAUGUGCUAUUAGAAAUAGAAAGGCAUUGAAAAAAGCCGGAUCUUUCUUCAAGGCAGUAUGGUAACCAGUCAAGAGAUCAGCGCAAAAAGUAUGGAUAAAUAUGAAAAGUGGAGAAACUGAAUACGUUCAGUUUGAAUAAGGAUCAUCAUUGCAUCAAGUAUACGAUUUACCUGCUUGAUUUUGUCCGAGUUCGUCUCGGGUAAGUGUUUAAUCGGAAUAUUUUUGUAUUUUAUACUCAGCAGUUAGGAGAUUUUCCACUCUCAACUUAUAAAUUAAACUCCAUUUCUAUCCCCGAUGUACAGUACCACCAACACACAAUGGCCAGGUAACAGGAGAACAGGAAACGUAUAUUAACGUGAAGAUACAUUAUGUUCUUCAUACGAUUCAGAUUUUACAUAUAGACAGACUAGGAGCUAGAAUUUUAAGCAUUAGAAUUAUAUAUAUACAGUAUAUGUAUAUUUUUGUCCAAGUAUCGAUAAAAAUAUAUUCUGAAAGUGUACUAGUCUCGUAACAUAGGAAAGCAACAGCGUAAAUAGGAGUAGAGAUUAAAAUGUUUAGCAAGUUUAUGUGAAUAAACUUGAGAACGUGAAG